RNAcentral lists this ribosomal RNA (377 nucleotides) under uncultured bacterium. Its description in RNAcentral is "bacterial SSU rRNA". It matches the Rfam family "Bacterial small subunit ribosomal RNA", at positions 521 to 896 of the family's 1533-position model. The record is from RNAcentral.
UAAUACGAGGGGGGCAAGCGUUGUCCGGAUUUAUUGGGCGUAAAGAGUUCGUAGGCGGGUUAGUCAGUCGAAAUUGAAAUCCCACGGCUUAACCGUGGACCCGGUUUCGAUACUACUAAUCUUGAGUGAGACAGAGGUAAGCGGAAUUCCUGGUGUAGCGGUGAAAUGCGUAGAUAUCAGGAGGAACACCGAAGGCGAAGGCAGCUUACUGGGUCUAUACUGACGCUGAGGAACGAAAGCGUGGGGAGCAAACAGGAUUAGAGACCCUGGUAGUCCACGCCGUAAACGAUGAGUACUUGGUGGUGGGGGAUUCGACCCCCUCACUGUCGGAGCUAACGCGUUAAGUACUCCGCCUGGGAACUACGACCGCAAGGUUG